UAAUCCCUACUCACAUUUCAGUACUAUUCUCAGCAUUAAAAAGUGAAGUUGUCAGGAAUCCUGCCUGAUUCUCCUUGUGUUCCGUUUUAGUUUUGUUUAUUUUUUAUUUUCUAGUGUUUAUUUAUUUUUAUUUUCAGUUUACUUGUUUUCGCUUGCAGUUGUGUUUUCUGUGUUCGUGUGCUUGGGUGUGCGUUUGUUAUUGUUUUUCCCCCUUAGGUUCCUGGUUCCUGUCCACGCCCACGCCCCGCCCCAGUUCCACCGGUUUCCGCAUCUGCAAUCAAACCUCCACUUACCUUCCUCACCUGCAUCCCAUCUUCACUCAUUGGCGUUGCUAUUUAGUUUCUGUGUGCACCUUUUUUCUUUGCCAGAUCGUUUUUCUGAUUUUUCGAAUAGCUUUUCCAGCCUUGUUUAGUGUUUUUGUCCUUCCUGGUUUUUCGACUUUUGCUUGUUUGUUUCCGACCUCGAGUUUAGCCUGCCUGUGUUAUUCCUUGCCUUGGUAUUUUUGUCCCUUGCCUGUUUAAUCGACCUGCCCCCCGGUUCCCGUUUUUGUGCCUCUGCCCUGUCUAUUUGAUUUCCCGGAUUUUGACCCCUGCCUGUACUUGAUUAAGAGACUGCUUCUGAUUCUGUGCUUCGCAAAAUAAAUCGCAUCUUCUACUAACUCUGGUCCGCUUCUGAGUCCCACCCCAGACCCUGACAGAAGUUAAAACAUCACUAGUUAAAAGUUUUCCUUAUGUUUUGGCUUGCGCGCCAUUAUGCUGUUUGCUAAGGGAGCAUAACAUGCUGCUACAAAACAUAGCUAAGAGGCAGCUUUUGAUUAGUCCGUCUCUAUUGAUUCAAGUGUGUGAUUGGAUUGGUAAAUGGUAAAUGGACUGCAUUUAUAUAGCACUUUUACCCAAAACGCUUUACAAUUGAUGCCUCUCAUUCACCUAUUCACACACACACUCACACACCAAUGGUGAAAGGCUGCCAUGCAAGGUACCAGUCAACUCAUUGGGAGCAAUUGGGGGUUUGGUGUCUUGCUCAGGGACACUUUGGAGUAGGCACUAUACUACACCCCCCUCUCCUUAGGCUGACACCCACUCCCCUGUAGCACGAACAAUCUUUUUAUGUCCAACAUGUCUUAAUCAACUCAAAUGUAAACUCCCCCACAGCAUACACUAACAUUACUAUGCUUAAGAUCUUCUUUACUUAAAUCAACAUCUGUCAUGCUGUAACACAUAUCAACAACUUAUUUUGUUUUUUGUUUUUACAAACAACCCCUUAUCUCACAAAGUCCUGAAGAUGCCUGGGAAGGAUUCUCUCUCUCAGAACGUCUGACAACAGUCUCUGGUCCCUGGCGCUGCGUUGCAGGACAGCAGGUUAGUGUCGGAAUUCCGAGGAAAGGCAGUGCCCACAGCGCCCACAGCGCCCACCCUGGUGGGGACCACUAAACUCAAGGGUCAUGGGGGGCUGGAGCCUAUUCCAGCAUGCAUUGGGCAAGAGGCAGGAAUACACUCUGGACUCAAUUCAUCACAGGCCACACACCUUUCUCUCCAAUUAGCCUAACCUGAAUGUCUUUGGAUUGGGGGAGGAAGACACAGACAUGGGGAGAAUAUGUAAGCUCCACACAGAGAGACCCUGGCUGGGACUCGAACCUGGGGUUUUCUUGCUGAGGUGACAGUGCUAUCUACCACACACCUUUCCGAAACACACCUUUCCGAAACCUAAAAGCAUGGAUCUGAUCAACUGGUCUCUCAACGCAAUUGAUAGUAUUUUCUCGACGAGAAGAACGGGUCAGGGAGAGCCCUCUUGCCCUGACGGAACGUUUGCAGCUGGAUACACGAUGGACUCCUGGAAGGAGUGGAGGGUCGUGUGCCUGUCGAUCCUUUCCGUUGAGGAUGUUGAAGACGUUUACUUGAUUGGAAUUAUGAUAACAGUUUGGAGCUGGCAGCAUCCUGAUUUAUUGCAAAAUGCCAAAGGCGUUGGCAGCACUAAUUGGGAAGCUGCCCGCCAUUGAGGGAACGGGCAGGGCUGUCAACACUCAGCCUCAAGCGAUUUGCGAGCUCAAUCGCAAACUGGAUGCGAUUGGAUCGCAAAUUCGCAUGACGGAUACCAACUUGGAGAAGUUGUCGGUUCGGCUCACUGAAAUGGGCCACUAAUUCGGAUGAUUGGAACAAUGCUGAGAGAACCACAGGACUAAAGGUAGACGAAAAAUGCAGAAGUCUGCCUGAACCCAAAACAAUCCUUAUCCUCAUUGGCUCCCCCACAUCGGCCUUGGAAGGCUGAUAUCUCUCCACUCUCCUGGAUUGUUAUGCAGACAGAUGCUCGGCCCUGCCCCCACCUCCCUGCUCCUAUGGAACUUUGUCUCUGGAUCAGGACUCUUCAAGGUCGUCUCCACGGCAACGGCCGUGUCCUCGUCAUCAGUAUCAGACGGCAGAGACAAUGUUGAGACUGUGGUGGAGAUGAAGUCCAUGGACUUACACACACACGCACAUGAAGAUAACACACACACCACCUCCUACUCAACGCCUUCUUGGCUCCCACCCCCCCUCCCUCCCCCGUUACAGUGCAGUCUGCUGAGGGUUGAUGCGAUGCGCCUGAGCGGUUGCGCGCUCCCCCCAGUGUCUGUGCUGCGACACUUCCCCUCCCCGACACCCUACCCCCUACCACAUGUGCAAGUCUUCGAGUUUUGUUGUAAUGUUUGUAAUGUUUUUAUGAUGUUGCUAUGUGCUGAGGUUUUUCUUCGUUUCAAUGAAACGAGUGCCCUCUCGUUUCAUUGAAAGGACUGUUUUUUUUUUCCUCCUCCUUCCUCCUGUUCUCUCAUUUCUCAUCUAAUAAGUUGGCGCCGCAGAUGGCUGCCUCGGUGUGUUGACUCAAAUUCCUCGUAUGUGUAAACGUACUUAGCAAUAAAAUACGAUUCUGAUUCUAGUUUGAAUACAUACAGAUAUGUUUCCCUUUAACCAACAUAUUACAUUUAAAAUAUCAUUUAUGAUCCAAAACAUGCAUUCAACAACACUAUUUCAAAAUUCUGUACAGAAUUCUGUACAAAUGUGGAUUUGAAACCAAACAGGUUGACUUUGUUUGCACAUUUAAUGUAAUCUCGCAGAAAAAUUGAAUACACUUGGCCCAAAGUUAGUGCAAAGGGAGUGCAUAUUUAUCAAUUAAGUCAUUUUCAAUGUUUUAUUUUUUAUUUCAUUC
Long non-coding RNA from Anguilla rostrata (American eel), 3177 nucleotides. RefSeq lists it as uncharacterized. The record is from RefSeq and is a predicted model, not a curated record. NCBI's taxonomy places the organism in Eukaryota, Metazoa, Chordata, Actinopteri, Anguilliformes, Anguillidae. The transcript has 3 exons.